This 505-nucleotide ribosomal RNA is filed under the name uncultured bacterium. Its description in RNAcentral is "partial 16S ribosomal RNA". It matches the Rfam family "Bacterial small subunit ribosomal RNA", at positions 28 to 507 of the family's 1533-position model. The record is from RNAcentral.
GACGAACGCUGGCGGCGUGCCUAAUACAUGCAAGUAGAACGCACAGUUUAUACCGUAGCUUGCUCCACCAUAGACUGUGAGUUGCGAACGGGUGAGUAACGCGUAGGUAACCUGCCUGGUAGCGGGUGAUAACUAUUGGAAACGAUAGCUAAUACCGCAUAAUAUUAAUUAUUGCAUGAUAAUUAAUUGAAAGGUGCAAUUGCACCACUACCAGAUGGACCUGCGUUGUAUUAGCUAGUAGGUGAGGUAACGGCUCACCUAGGCGACGAUACAUAGCCGACCUGAGAGGGUGAUCGGCCACACUGGGACUGAGACACGGCCCAGACUCCUACGGGAGGCAGCAGUAGGGAAUCUUCGGCAAUGGACGAAAGUCUGACCGAGCAACGCCGCGUGAGUGAAGAAGGUUUUCGGAUCGUAAAGCUCUGUUGUAAGAGAAGAACGGGUGUGAGAGUGGAAAGUUCACACUGUGACGGUAUCUUACCAGAAAGGGGCGGCUAACUACGUG